RNAcentral lists this long non-coding RNA (407 nucleotides) under Rattus norvegicus (Norway rat). RNAcentral's name for it is "long non-coding RNA NONRATT023128". Lineage: Eukaryota; Metazoa; Chordata; Mammalia; Rodentia; Muridae. The record is from RNAcentral.
GGGAAGGAAAAAGAGAAGAAAAAAAGAAAAAAGAAGAAACAGGAGGAAAACAAGAAGCACUGAAAGGUGAGGUGCCGGUCCUGCUUGAUGACAUGGAUAAGGCUGCCACACAGUGUAUGGAGAGAAGGUUUCAUCAGACAGCGCUCACUCGUGGGAUGCCGCAGAGUGUUUCAGCCAUUUCCCUGCACCAUGUGCUGCAAGUGGUACGUGUUGGCAGUUUUAUAUAGGGAAGGAGACCACAGGCAGCAACAGAUGACUUGGCACCAUUCCCAGCCUUUUCUGCCUUUCCCAAGGCACAUGCUUGAAAUGCUGGUUGUCCGGCUCCAGAGCUGGUAACAUAUCCCAUAAAAUCACCGCUUAAUCAGAAAGAUGAACACAAGAAGACCGAUUGAGACUAAAGAAACGGG